GAUGAACGCUAGCGGCAGGCCUAAUACAUGCAAGUCGAACGGUAAGGCCCUUUCGGGGGUACACGAGUGGCGGACGGGUGCGUAACGCGUAUGCAACUUACCCUGUAGAGGGGGAUAGCCUGGAGAAAUUCAGAUUAAUACCCCAUAGUAUUACGGAAUCGCAUGGUUUUGUAAUUAAAACUUCGGUGCUACAGGAUGGGCAUGCGUGACAUUAGCUAGUUGGUGAGGUAACGGCUCACCAAGGCUACGAUGUCUAGCUGGUCUGAGAGGAUGAUCAGCCACACUGGGACUGAGACACGGCCCAGACUCCUACGGGAGGCAGCAGUAGGGAAUAUUGGACAAUGGGCGAAAGCCUGAUCCAGCCAUGCCGCGUGAAGGAAGAAGGUUCUCUGAAUUGUAAACUUCUUUUAGCAGGGGAUAAACCAGGGCUAUACGCCUUGUUGAAGGUACCUGCAGAAUAAGCACCGGCUAACUCCG
RNAcentral lists this ribosomal RNA (477 nucleotides) under uncultured Bacteroidota bacterium. RNAcentral's name for it is "bacterial SSU rRNA". It matches the Rfam family "Bacterial small subunit ribosomal RNA", at positions 28 to 505 of the family's 1533-position model. The record is from RNAcentral. Lineage: Bacteria; Pseudomonadati; Bacteroidota.